Molecule: transfer-messenger RNA, 318 nt
Filed under: Litorimonas taeanensis
Lineage: Bacteria; Pseudomonadati; Pseudomonadota; Alphaproteobacteria; Maricaulales; Robiginitomaculaceae
Description: Alphaproteobacteria transfer-messenger RNA
Rfam family: Alphaproteobacteria transfer-messenger RNA
About the family: Bacterial tmRNA, also known as 10Sa RNA or SsrA, is named for its dual tRNA and mRNA-like properties. Its role is to liberate the mRNA from a stalled ribosome.
Source: RNAcentral
AGCCUUUCAUUUCCUACAAUCUUGCUUACGUUAUAGAAGUCAGCUUGCUGACUAUGAGGAUAAACGCGCUCAUAAUAGACGGACUGGACCCGGGGGCGGUACCCGGCGGCUCCACCAAAAACGCUCAGACUAGCUGAGCGCUUUUGAUGGGGCCGAAAUAGGAUCGACAGACGUUCAAAAGGGUUAGCUUUCUUCCGUAUGGGUACCGUUAAAUGCCCGUUCUUUAUAAUUGCAAAUGACAAUUAUUCUGAGGAAUUUGCCCUAGCUGCGUAAGCAGUUCGGACAUUCCGACUUUAACUCCUAGCCCUUCAGACGGCU